AUUGAACGCUGGCGGCAUGCCUUACACAUGCAAGUCGAACGGUAACGCGGGGCAACCUGGCGACGAGUGGCGAACGGGUGAGUAAUGCAUCGGAACGUGCCCAGUAGUGGGGGAUAGCCCGGCGAAAGCCGGAUUAAUACCGCAUACGACCUAAGGGUGAAAGGGGGGGAUCGCAAGACCUCUCGCUAUUGGAGCGGCCGAUGUCAGAUUAGGUAGGUGGUGGGGUAAAGGCCUACCAAGCCGACGAUCUGUAGCUGGUCUGAGAGGACGACCAGCCACACUGGGACUGAGACACGGCCCAGACUCCUACGGGAGGCAGCAGUGGGGAAUUUUGGACAAUGGACGCAAGUCUGAUCCAGCCAUGCCGCGUGCGGGAAGAAGGCCUUCGGGUUGUAAACCGCUUUUGUCAGGGAAGAAAUCUUCUGGGCUAAUACCUCGGGAGGAUGACGGUACCUGAAGAAUAAGCACCGGCUAACUACGUGCCAGCAGCCGCAGUAA
This 498-nucleotide ribosomal RNA is filed under the name uncultured bacterium. RNAcentral's name for it is "partial 16S ribosomal RNA". It matches the Rfam family "Bacterial small subunit ribosomal RNA", at positions 29 to 523 of the family's 1533-position model. The record is from RNAcentral.